GACGAACGCUGGCGGCGUGCUUAACACAUGCAAGUCGAACGAAGAGCGACGGAAGCUUGCUUCUAUCAAUCUUAGUGGCGAACGGGUGAGUAACGCGUAAUCAACCUGCCCUUCAGAGGGGGACAACAGUUGGAAACGACUGCUAAUACCGCAUACGAUCUAACCACGGCAUCGAGGAUAGAUGAAAGGUGGCCUCUACAUGUAAGCUAUCACUGAAGGAGGGGAUUGCGUCUGAUUAGCUAGUUGGAGGGGUAACGGCCCACCAAGGCGAUGAUCAGUAGCCGGUCUGAGAGGAUGAACGGCCACAUUGGGACUGAGACACGGCCCAGACUCCUACGGGAGGCAGCAGUGGGGAAUCUUCCGCAAUGGACGAAAGUCUGACGGAGCAACGCCGCGUGAGUGAUGACGGCCUUCGGGUUGUAAAGCUCUGUUAAUCGGGACGAAAGGCCUUCUUGCGAAUAGUGAGAAGGAUUGACGGUACCGGAAGAGAAAGCCACGGCUAACUACGUG
This 510-nucleotide ribosomal RNA is filed under the name uncultured bacterium. RNAcentral describes it as "partial 16S ribosomal RNA". It matches the Rfam family "Bacterial small subunit ribosomal RNA", at positions 28 to 507 of the family's 1533-position model. The record is from RNAcentral.